RNAcentral lists this ribosomal RNA (963 nucleotides) under Guptibacillus algicola. RNAcentral's name for it is "bacterial SSU rRNA". It matches the Rfam family "Bacterial small subunit ribosomal RNA", at positions 73 to 1019 of the family's 1533-position model. The record is from RNAcentral. Lineage: Bacteria; Bacillati; Bacillota; Bacilli; Caryophanales; Guptibacillaceae.
UGGGAGCUUGCUCCCAUUUCUCAGCGGCGGACGGGUGAGUAACACGUGGGCAACCUGCCCUACAGACUGGGAUAACUCCGGGAAACCGGAGCUAAUACCGGGUAAUACAUAGCAUCGCAUGAUGCAACGUUGAAAGUUGGCCUUUGGCUAACACUGUAGGAUGGGCCCGCGGCGCAUUAGCUAGUUGGUAAGGUAACGGCUUACCAAGGCCACGAUGCGUAGCCGACCUGAGAGGGUGAUCGGCCACACUGGGACUGAGACACGGCCCAGACUCCUACGGGAGGCAGCAGUAGGGAAUCUUCCGCAAUGGACGAAAGUCUGACGGAGCAACGCCGCGUGAGUGACGAAGGCCUUCGGGUCGUAAAGCUCUGUUGUUAGGGAAGAACAAGUACCGUUCGAAUAGGGCGGUACCUUGACGGUACCUAACCAGAAAGCCACGGCUAACUACGUGCCAGCAGCCGCGGUAAUACGUAGGUGGCAAGCGUUGUCCGGAAUUAUUGGGCGUAAAGCGCGCGCAGGCGGUCUCUUAAGUCUGAUGUGAAAGCCCACGGCUCAACCGUGGAGGGCCAUUGGAAACUGGGGGACUUGAGUGCAGAAGAGGAGAGUGGAAUUCCACGUGUAGCGGUGAAAUGCGUAGAUAUGUGGAGGAACACCAGUGGCGAAGGCGGCUCUCUGGUCUGUAACUGACGCUGAGGCGCGAAAGCGUGGGGAGCGAACAGGAUUAGAUACCCUGGUAGUCCACGCCGUAAACGAUGAGUGCUAGGUGUUUGGGGGGUUCCACCCUCAGUGCUGAAGUUAACACAUUAAGCACUCCGCCUGGGGAGUACGACCGCAAGGUUGAAACUCAAAGGAAUUGACGGGGGCCCGCACAAGCAGUGGAGCAUGUGGUUUAAUUCGAAGCAACGCGAAGAACCUUACCAGGUCUUGACAUCCUCUGCCACUCCUAGAGAUAGGACGUUCCCC